Molecule: ribosomal RNA, 2301 nt
Filed under: Proteus mirabilis
Lineage: Bacteria; Pseudomonadati; Pseudomonadota; Gammaproteobacteria; Enterobacterales; Morganellaceae
Description: partial 23S ribosomal RNA
Rfam family: Bacterial large subunit ribosomal RNA
Source: RNAcentral
AGGUUAACCGUAUAGGGGAGCCGUAGGGAAACCGAGUCUUAACUGGGCGAAUGAGUUGCAGGGUAUAGACCCGAAACCCGGUGAUCUAUCCAUGGGCAGGUUGAAGGUUGGGUAACACUAACUGGAGGACCGAACCGACUAAUGUUGAAAAAUUAGCGGAUGACUUGUGGAUGGGGGUGAAAGGCCAAUCAAACCGGGAGAUAGCUGGUUCUCCCCGAAAGCUAUUUAGGUAGCGCCUCGUGAACUCAUCUUCGGGGGUAGAGCACUGUUUCGACUAGGGGGUCAUCCCGACUUACCAACUCGAUGCAAACUGCGAAUACCGAAGAAUGUUAUCACGGGAGACACACGGCGGGUGCUAACGUCCGUCGUGAAGAGGGAAACAACCCAGACCGCCAGCUAAGGUCCCAAAGUCAUGGUUAAGUGGGAAACGAAGUGGGAAGGCUCAGACAGCCAGGAUGUUGGCUUAGAAGCAGCCAUCAUUUAAAGAAAGCGUAAUAGCUCACUGGUCGAGUCGGCCCGCGCGGAAGAUGUAACGGGGCUAAACCAUGCACCGAAGCUGCGGCAGCGACACAUAGUGUUGUUGGGUAGGGGAGCGUUCUGUAAGCCUGCGAAGGUGUACUGUGAGGUAUGCUGGAGGUAUCAGAAGUGCGAAUGCUGACAUAAGUAACGAUAAUGCGGGUGAAAAACCCGCACGCCGGAAGACCAAGGGUUCCUGUCCAACGUUAAUCGGGGCAGGGUGAGUCGACCCCUAAGGCGAGGCUGAAAAGCGUAGUCGAUGGGAAACGGGUUAAUAUUCCCGUACUGGUGGUAACUGCGAUGGGGGAACGGAGAAGGCUAGGUUGUCCGGGCGACGGUCGUCCCGGUUCAAGCAGGUAGGCAGAGUGAUUAGGCAAAUCCGGUCACUUAAUGCUGAGAUGUGAUGACGAACCACCAAGGUGGUGAAGCAAUUGAUGCCCCGCUUCCAGGAAAAGCCUCUAAGCUUCAGGUUACCAACAAUCGUACCCCAAACCGACACAGGUGGUCAGGUAGAGAAUACUCAGGCGCUUGAGAGAACUCGGGUGAAGGAACUAGGCAAAAUGGUGCCGUAACUUCGGGAGAAGGCACGCUGGCGGUAGGUAAAGUCCCUCGCGGACGGCGCUGAAGCCAGUCGAAGAUACCAGCUGGCUGCAACUGUUUAUUAAAAACACAGCACUGUGCAAACACGAAAGUGGACGUAUACGGUGUGACGCCUGCCCGGUGCUGGAAGGUUAAUUGAUGGGGUUAGCGUAAGCGAAGCUCCUGAUCGAAGCCCCAGUAAACGGCGGCCGUAACUAUAACGGUCCUAAGGUAGCGAAAUUCCUUGUCGGGUAAGUUCCGACCUGCACGAAUGGCGUAAUGAUGGCCAGGCUGUCUCCACCCGAGACUCAGUGAAAUUGAACUCGCUGUGAAGAUGCAGUGUACCCGCGGCAAGACGGAAAGACCCCGUGAACCUUUACUAUAGCUUGACACUGAACAUUGAGCCUUGAUGUGUAGGAUAGGUGGGAGGCUUUGAAGUGUGGACGCCAGUCUGCAUGGAGCCAACCUUGAAAUACCACCCUUUAACGUUUGAUGUUCUAACCUAGGCCCAUAAACUGGGUCGGGGACCGUGUCUGGUGGGUAGUUUGACUGGGGCGGUCUCCUCCUAAAGAGUAACGGAGGAGCACGAAGGUUGGCUAAGCAUGGUCGGACAUCAUGCGGUUAGUGCAAAGGCAUAAGCCAGCUUGACUGCGAGAGUGACGGCUCGAGCAGGUACGAAAGUAGGUCUUAGUGAUCCGGUGGUUCUGAAUGGAAGGGCCAUCGCUCAACGGAUAAAAGGUACUCCGGGGAUAACAGGCUGAUACCGCCCAAGAGUUCAUAUCGACGGCGGUGUUUGGCACCUCGAUGUCGGCUCAUCACAUCCUGGGGCUGAAGUAGGUCCCAAGGGUAUGGCUGUUCGCCAUUUAAAGUGGUACGCGAGCUGGGUUUAGAACGUCGUGAGACAGUUCGGUCCCUAUCUGCCGUGGGCGUUGGAAGAUUGAGAGGGGUUGCUCCUAGUACGAGAGGACCGGAGUGAACGCACCACUGGUGUUCGGGUUGUCAUGCCAAUGGCAUUGCCCGGUAGCUAAGUGCGGAAGAGAUAACCGCUGAAAGCAUCUAAGCGGGAAACUUGCCUCGAGAUGAGUCUUCCCUGUCGCUUUAAGCGACCUAAAGGAACGUUUAAGACUAAGACGUUGAUAGGCUGGGUGUGUAAGCGUAGCGAUACGUUGAGCUAACCAGUACUAAUGAACCGUGAGGCUUAACCUG